This 255-nucleotide ribosomal RNA is filed under the name uncultured bacterium. RNAcentral describes it as "partial 16S ribosomal RNA". It matches the Rfam family "Bacterial small subunit ribosomal RNA", at positions 524 to 776 of the family's 1533-position model. The record is from RNAcentral.
CACGUAGGGGGCGAGCGUUGUCCGGAUUUAUUGGGCGUAAAGAGCUCGUAGGCGGCUCGGUAAGUCAGGUGUGAAAACUCUAGGCUCAACCUAGAGACGCCACCUGAUACUGCCGUGGCUAGAGUCCGGUAGGGGAGCAUGGAAUUCCCGGUGUAGUGGUGAAAUGCGUAGAUAUCGGGAGGAACACCAGUGGCGAAGGCGACUACCUGGCCUGUUUCUUGACGCUGAGGCGCGAAAGCUAGGGUAGCAAACGGG